This 1256-nucleotide ribosomal RNA is filed under the name uncultured Acinetobacter sp. Its description in RNAcentral is "bacterial SSU rRNA". It matches the Rfam family "Bacterial small subunit ribosomal RNA", at positions 77 to 1328 of the family's 1533-position model. The record is from RNAcentral. Lineage: Bacteria; Pseudomonadati; Pseudomonadota; Gammaproteobacteria; Moraxellales; Moraxellaceae.
AGCUUGCUACCUGACCUAGCGGCGGACGGGUGAGUAAUGCUUAGGAAUCUGCCUAUUAGUGGGGGACAACAUUCCGAAAGGAAUGCUAAUACCGCAUACGCCCUACGGGGGAAAGCAGGGGAUCUUCGGACCUUGCGCUAAUAGAUGAGCCUAAGUCAGAUUAGCUAGUUGGUGGGGUAAAGGCCUACCAAGGCGACGAUCUGUAGCGGGUCUGAGAGGAUGAUCCGCCACACUGGGACUGAGACACGGCCCAGACUCCUACGGGAGGCAGCAGUGGGGAAUAUUGGACAAUGGGCGAAAGCCUGAUCCAGCCAUGCCGCGUGUGUGAAGAAGGCCUUUUGGUUGUAAAGCACUUUAAGCGAGGAGGAGGCUACUUGGAUUAAUACUCUAGGAUAGUGGACGUUACUCGCAGAAUAAGCACCGGCUAACUCUGUGCCAGCAGCCGCGGUAGUACAGAGGGUGCGAGCGUUAAUCGGAUUUACUGGGCGUAAAGCGUGCGUAGGCGGCUUUUUAAGUCGGAUGUGAAAUCCCUGAGCUUAACUUAGGAAUUGCAUUCGAUACUGGGAAGCUAGAGUAUGGGAGAGGAUGGUAGAAUUCCAGGUGUAGCGGUGAAAUGCGUAGAGAUCUGGAGGAAUACCGAUGGCGAAGGCAGCCAUCUGGCCUAAUACUGACGCUGAGGUACGAAAGCAUGGGGAGCAAACAGGAUUAGAUACCCUGGUAGUCCAUGCCGUAAACGAUGUCUACUAGCCGUUGGGGCCUUUGAGGCUUUAGUGGCGCAGCUAACGCGAUAAGUAGACCGCCUGGGGAGUACGGUCGCAAGACUAAAACUCAAAUGAAUUGACGGGGGCCCGCACAAGCGGUGGAGCAUGUGGUUUAAUUCGAUGCAACGCGAAGAACCUUACCUGGUCUUGACAUAGUAAGAACUUUCCAGAGAUGGAUUGGUGCCUUCGGGAACUUACAUACAGGUGCUGCAUGGCUGUCGUCAGCUCGUGUCGUGAGAUGUUGGGUUAAGUCCCGCAACGAGCGCAACCCUUUUCCUUAUUUGCCAGCGGGUUAAGCCGGGAACUUUAAGGAUACUGCCAGUGACAAACUGGAGGAAGGCGGGGACGACGUCAAGUCAUCAUGGCCCUUACGACCAGGGCUACACACGUGCUACAAUGGUCGGUACAAAGGGUUGCUACCUAGCGAUAGGAUGCUAAUCUCAAAAAGCCGAUCGUAGUCCGGAUUGGAGUCUGCAACUCGACUCCAUGAAGUCG